AGCUGAUGGGACACGCCGCGUGAGUGAGAAGGUCUUCGGAUCGUAAGCUCUGUUGCACGGGAGAAAACCGGGCUUGAAAAUAUUGAACUUGGGUGACGGUACCGAGCGAGGAAGCCACGGCUAACUACGUGCCAGCAGCCGCGGUAAUACGUAGGUGGCGAGCGUUGUCCGGAAUUAUUGGGCGUAAAGGGAGCGCAGGCGGACAUAUAAGUCCAUCUUAAAAGUGCGGGGCUCAACCCCGUGAGGGGAUGGAAACUGUAUGCCUUGAGUGCAGGAGAGGAAAGCGGAAUUCCCAGUGUAGCGGUGAAAUGCGUAGAUAUUGGGAGGAACACCAGUGGCGAAGGCGGCUUUCUGGACUGCAACUGACGCUGAGGCUCGAAAGCCAGGGGAGCGAACGGGAUUAGAUACCCCGGUAGUCCUGGCCGUAAACGAUGAAUGCUAGGUGUAGGAGGUAUCGACCCCUCCUGUGCCGGAGUUAACGC
This 482-nucleotide ribosomal RNA is filed under the name uncultured bacterium. Its description in RNAcentral is "bacterial SSU rRNA". It matches the Rfam family "Bacterial small subunit ribosomal RNA", at positions 381 to 858 of the family's 1533-position model. The record is from RNAcentral.